RNAcentral lists this ribosomal RNA (253 nucleotides) under uncultured bacterium. RNAcentral describes it as "partial 16S ribosomal RNA". It matches the Rfam family "Bacterial small subunit ribosomal RNA", at positions 524 to 776 of the family's 1533-position model. The record is from RNAcentral.
UACGAAGGGGGCUAGCGUUGCUCGGAAUCACUGGGCGUAAAGCGCACGUAGGCGGAUCUUUAAGUCGGGGGUGAAAUCCCGGAGCUCAACUCCGGAACUGCCUUCGAUACUGAGGAUCUCGAGUUCGGGAGAGGUGAGUGGAACUGCGAGUGUAGAGGUGAAAUUCGUAGAUAUUCGCAAGAACACCAGUGGCGAAGGCGGCUCACUGGCCCGAUACUGACGCUGAGGUGCGAAAGCGUGGGGAGCAAACAGG